Long non-coding RNA from Aethalodelphis obliquidens (Pacific white-sided dolphin), 161 nucleotides. RefSeq lists it as uncharacterized. The record is from RefSeq and is a predicted model, not a curated record. The transcript is spliced from 3 exons. Lineage: Eukaryota; Metazoa; Chordata; Mammalia; Artiodactyla; Delphinidae.
UUAUUGAAGAGACUGUCUUUUCUCCAUUGUAUAUGCUUGCCUCCUUUGUUAUGGAUUAGGUGACCGUAGGGGCUUGGGUUUAUCUGUGGACUUUCUAUCCUGUUCUUUGACCUACAUUUCUGUUUUUGUGCCAGUACCAUACUGUUUUGAUUACUCUAGCU